GGUAGCGACGGGGCAGUGUCGGCGUGAAUAGUUGGGGGGCAAGUGUGGACAGGAAUAACGGGGCUGAAAGGGCGCGUGGACGGUGUUUUAAGUCAGAUGUGAAACCUCCCUGCUUAACUGGGGUGAGGCAUUUGAUACUGGAGAGCUUGAGUGCGGGAGAGGACAGUGGAAUUCCUAGUUUAGCGGUGAAAUGCGUAGAUAUUAGGAGGAACACCAGGGGCGAAGGCGGCUGUCUGGACUGUAACUGACGCUGAGGCGCGAAAGCGUGGGGAGCAAACAGGAUUAGAUACCCUGGUAGUC
This 300-nucleotide ribosomal RNA is filed under the name uncultured Chlamydia sp. Its description in RNAcentral is "bacterial SSU rRNA". The stretch from base 52 to 300 matches the Rfam family "Bacterial small subunit ribosomal RNA", at positions 547 to 795 of the family's 1533-position model. The record is from RNAcentral. Lineage: Bacteria; Pseudomonadati; Chlamydiota; Chlamydiia; Chlamydiales; Chlamydiaceae.